Molecule: transfer RNA, 73 nt
Filed under: Camelus bactrianus (Bactrian camel)
Lineage: Eukaryota; Metazoa; Chordata; Mammalia; Artiodactyla; Camelidae
Also listed under: 2 other names
Rfam family: tRNA
About the family: Transfer RNA (tRNA) molecules are approximately 80 nucleotides in length.
Source: Rfam by way of RNAcentral
GAGGGUAUAUCUCAAGUGGUAGAGUGCAUGCUUAGCAUGCAUGAGGUCCUGGGUUCAAUUUCCUGUACUUCCU